ACCUACGGGAGGCAGCAGUGGGGGAUAUUGCACAAUGGGGGAAACCCUGAUGCAGCGACGCCGCGUGUGGGAAGACGGUCCUCUGGAUUGUAAACCACUGUCCCCAGGGACGAAGAUGACGGUACCUGAAGAAGAAGCCCCGGCUAACUACGUGCCAGCAGCCGCGGUAAUACGUAGGGGGCAAGCGUUAUCCGGAUUUACUGGGUGUAAAGGGAGCGUAGACGGCCAGACAAGUCAGAAGUGAAAGCCCAGGGCUCAACCCUGGGACUGCUUUUGAAACUGCCGGGCUGGAGUGCAGGAGAGGG
RNAcentral lists this ribosomal RNA (305 nucleotides) under uncultured bacterium. Its description in RNAcentral is "bacterial SSU rRNA". It matches the Rfam family "Bacterial small subunit ribosomal RNA", at positions 337 to 658 of the family's 1533-position model. The record is from RNAcentral.